RNAcentral lists this long non-coding RNA (428 nucleotides) under Cyanistes caeruleus (blue tit). Its description in RNAcentral is "lncRNA (ENSCCEG00000006692.1)". Lineage: Eukaryota; Metazoa; Chordata; Aves; Passeriformes; Paridae. The record is from RNAcentral.
UAGUUUGCAAUACUUUCUUUCAGAAACUGAGCACUGGGUUAAAAGGGCAAGUCUCUCAUCUUCAUUUUUUCAUGAAUACAGAAGAAUAUCAAGCAAGCUGCAAAAAUCCAACAGGAAGCAUUCUGAAAAAUGAAAAUGCAAAAACUAUCUCUUUGUCAACCCAACUUGCUAUGAGUUAAUAAAAUCAGCUGAGUUUCACUGCAUCAUAAACAAUGUGUCAUAUGCAUACAUUGAAAAUAACUGAGAAAGAUCACCUACUUCAUCGUUCAACCCCUGAGGCAACUAGAAAUUGUAGAUAUUAAAGAAAAAACGGUGAGAGUGUGAAAAUAAUCAGAUAUCCAUCCACAGGAAUGUAAUUUUUCAUAACAGUCAUGACAAAUAAGUCCUGCAUGGAACUCUGAAGGAAUUCUGUGAAAUAUUUAUGUGGG